This is a non-coding RNA of Acanthosepion pharaonis, 108 nucleotides long. Lineage: Eukaryota; Metazoa; Mollusca; Cephalopoda; Sepiida; Sepiidae. The record is from the annotation of a GenBank genome assembly.
UUACGGCCAUAUCACGUUGAAACACCGGUUCCAAUACGAUCACCGAAGUUAAGCAACGUCGAGCCUGGUCUAGAUGGGUGGCCGCCCAAGAAUACUAGGUGCUGUAAG